This 285-nucleotide ribosomal RNA is filed under the name uncultured Lactobacillus sp. RNAcentral describes it as "partial 16S ribosomal RNA". It matches the Rfam family "Bacterial small subunit ribosomal RNA", at positions 258 to 524 of the family's 1533-position model. Lineage: Bacteria; Bacillati; Bacillota; Bacilli; Lactobacillales; Lactobacillaceae. The record is from RNAcentral.
UAACGGGCCUACCGAAGGCGAUGAUGCAUAGCCCCGAGUUGAGAGACUGAUCGGGCCACAUUGGGGACUGAGACACGGGCCCAAAACUCCUACGGGGAGGCAGCAGUAGGGAAUCUUCCACAAUGGACGCAAGUCUGAUGGAGCAACGCCGCGUGAGUGAAGUAAGGGUUUCGGCUACGUAAAGCUCUGUUGUUGGUGAAGAAGGACAGGGGUAGUAACUGACCUUUGUUUGACGGUAAUCAAUUAGAAAGUCACGGCUAACUACGUGCCAGCAGCCGCGGUAAU